RNAcentral lists this ribosomal RNA (231 nucleotides) under uncultured bacterium. Its description in RNAcentral is "partial 16S ribosomal RNA". It matches the Rfam family "Bacterial small subunit ribosomal RNA", at positions 524 to 753 of the family's 1533-position model. The record is from RNAcentral.
UACGUAGGGUGCGAGCGUUAAUCGGAAUUACUGGGCGUAAAGCGUGCGCAGGCGGUUUUGUAAGCCAGAUGUGAAAUCCCCCGGGCUUAACCUGGGAAUGGCAUUUGGGACUGCAAGGCUGGAGUGUGGCAGAGGAGACUGGAAUUCCUGGUGUAGCAGUGAAAUGCGUAGAUAUCAGGAGGAAUACCGAUGGCGAAGGCAGGUCUCUGGGCUGACACUGACGCUCAUGCA